Molecule: long non-coding RNA, 523 nt
Filed under: Triticum aestivum (bread wheat)
Lineage: Eukaryota; Viridiplantae; Streptophyta; Magnoliopsida; Poales; Poaceae
Description: long non-coding RNA (TAES_LNC012491)
Source: RNAcentral
UAAGCGAAAGCGAGCAAAAGAAUGUCGUUCCUUUAUUAUGCCAUGAAGAGAACUUGUUUAAUUUAUUUCAGUCGAAUGCAUGCCGAUCGUUCAUGCAUGCAGUGGCUAGGCGGAUAGAUUGGUGCAGUUCCUGUAGCACAUGCAUGUACUUUUUUUUUUGAGCAUCAGUACAGACACAAGCGCUCAUAUACACGCGCAUACACUCACCCCUAUGAAUGCACACACGCACACCAUACCCUUAUGAGCACCUCCGAGAGACCGAGCCGGCAUAUCAUCUUGAGAUUUACGAAGUCACCGUAGGCGCCUCGGCCCUGCAGGAGCCUGCAAUGACGCAAACGCCUCCCAUCCACUGCCUGCUUAUCUGCUUUUCGCAGCCAUGCGACCCCAUUUUUUCUGCAUUGAUCCACAGAUAAUACAGUACGAAUUAACCAUCAGCUAAACUAAUUUGGAUCAGAUUGAUCCGGAGUUGUGUGGGGCGAUGGUCUUCCUACCAGAUGACAGGAGAAGCAGCAUCACCACGGAC